RNAcentral lists this ribosomal RNA (460 nucleotides) under uncultured bacterium. RNAcentral's name for it is "partial 16S ribosomal RNA". It matches the Rfam family "Bacterial small subunit ribosomal RNA", at positions 338 to 795 of the family's 1533-position model. The record is from RNAcentral.
CCUACGGGUGGCAGCAGUGAGGAAUAUUGGUCAAUGGGCGGAAGCCUGAACCAGCCAAGUCGCGUGAGGGAAUAAGGCCCUACGGGUCGUAAACCUCUUUUGCCGGGGAGCAAGGGCGGAGACGUGUCCCGGCCAGGAGAGUACCCGGAGAAAAAGCAUCGGCUAACUCCGUGCCAGCAGCCGCGGUAAUACGGAGGUCCGGGCGUUAUCCGGAUUUAUUGGGUUUAAAGGGAGCGUAGGCCGCAUGUCAAGCGUGCUGUGAAAUGUCCGGGCUCAACCCGGGCCUUGCAGCGCGAACUGGCGUGCUUGAGUCCGCGGAAAGCAGGCGGAAUUCGUCGUGUAGCGGUGAAAUGCUUAGAUAUGACGAAGAACCCCGAUUGCGAAGGCAGCUUGCUGCAGCGGAACUGACGCUGAUGCUCGAAAGCGCGGGUAUCGAACAGGAUUAGAUACCCUGGUAGUC